RNAcentral lists this signal recognition particle RNA (275 nucleotides) under Sciurus vulgaris (Eurasian red squirrel). RNAcentral describes it as "Metazoan signal recognition particle RNA (ENSSVLG00005014740.1)". It matches the Rfam family "Metazoan signal recognition particle RNA". Rfam says of the family: The signal recognition particle (SRP) is a universally conserved ribonucleoprotein. It is involved in the co-translational targeting of proteins to membranes. The eukaryotic SRP consists of a 300-nucleotide 7S RNA and six proteins: SRPs 72, 68, 54, 19, 14, and 9. Lineage: Eukaryota; Metazoa; Chordata; Mammalia; Rodentia; Sciuridae. The record is from RNAcentral.
CUAGGCACGUGGGUGCCAAGUAGUCCCAGUUACUCUGGAGAUAGGUGGGAAGAUCGCUUGAGUCCAGAAGUUCUGGGCUGUAGUGCACUCUGCCCAUCAGGCGUCUGCACUAAGUUUGGCAUCAAUAUGGUGACCUCCUGGGAGUGGGGGACCACCAGGUUCCCUAAGGAGAGGUGAACCAGCCCAGGUUGGAAACAACAGGUCAAACCCCCCCUACAAAUAGUCAGGAGUGGUGCUUGUACCGGAGAUUCAAAUGCUAGUUCUCUUCCCACCUC